CCUACGGGAGGCAGCAGUGGGGAAUAUUGCACAAUGGGGGAAACCCUGAUGCAGCGACGCCGCGUGAGUGAAGAAGUAAUUCGUUAUGUAAAGCUCUAUCAGCAGGGAAGAAAAUGACGGUACCUGAGUAAUCCGCCCCGGCUCACUACGUUCCAGCAGCCGCGGUACUACGUAGGGGGCAAGCGUUGUCCGGAUUUACUGGGGGUAAAGGGAGCGUAGACGGCAGUGCAAGUCUGGAGGGAAAGGCGGGGGCUCAACCCCCGGACUGCUCUGGAAACUGUACGGCUGGAGUGCAGGAGAGGUAAGUGGAAUUCCUAGUGUAGCGGUGAAAUGCGUAGAUAUUAGGAGGAACACCAGUGGCGAAGGCGGCUUACUGGACUGUAACUGACGUUGAGGCUCGAAAGCGUGGGGAGCAAACAGGAUUAGAUACCCGGGUAGUC
Molecule: ribosomal RNA, 440 nt
Filed under: uncultured bacterium
Lineage: Bacteria
Description: partial 16S ribosomal RNA
Rfam family: Bacterial small subunit ribosomal RNA
Source: RNAcentral